GACGAACGCUGGCGGCGUGCUUAACACAUGCAAGUCGAACGGAAAGGCCUCUUUCGGGGGGUACUCGAGUGGCGAACGGGUGAGUAACACGUGAGUAACCUGCCCUUGACUUUGGGAUAACUUCAGGAAACUGGGGCUAAUACCGGAUAGGAGCUCCUGCUGCAUGGUGGGGGUUGGAAAGUUUCGGCGGUUGGGGAUGGACUCGCGGCUUAUCAGCUUGUUGGUGGGGUAGUGGCUUACCAAGGCUUUGACGGGUAGCCGGCCUGAGAGGGUGACCGGCAACAUUGGGACUGAGAUACGGCCCAGACUCCUACGGGAGGCAGCAGUGGGGAAUAUUGCACAAUGGGUGGAAGCCUGAUGCAGCAACGCCGUGUGCGGGAUGACGGCCUUCGGGUUGGAAACCGCUUUCGCUCAUGACGAAGCUUUGUGUGACGGUAGUGGGUAAAGAAGCACCGGCUAACUACGUG
RNAcentral lists this ribosomal RNA (467 nucleotides) under uncultured bacterium. RNAcentral describes it as "partial 16S ribosomal RNA". It matches the Rfam family "Bacterial small subunit ribosomal RNA", at positions 28 to 507 of the family's 1533-position model. The record is from RNAcentral.